UACGUAGGGGGGCAAGCGUUGUCCGGAAUCAUUGGGCGUAAAGCGCGUGUAGGCGGCCCGGUAAGUCCGCUGUGAAAGUCGGGGGCUCAACCCUGGGAUGCCGGUGGAUACUGUCGGACUAGAGUACGGAAGAGGCGAGUGGAAUUCCCGGUGUAGCGGUGAAAUGCGCAGAUAUCGGGAGGAACACCAAUUGCGAAGGCAGCUCGCUGGGACGUCACUGACGCUGAGACGCGAAAGCGUGGGGAGCAAACAGGG
This 255-nucleotide ribosomal RNA is filed under the name uncultured bacterium. RNAcentral describes it as "partial 16S ribosomal RNA". It matches the Rfam family "Bacterial small subunit ribosomal RNA", at positions 524 to 777 of the family's 1533-position model. The record is from RNAcentral.